AGAGUUUGAUCCUGGCUCAGAAUCAACGCUGGCGGCGUGCCUCAGACAUGCAAGUCGAACGAUUAAACUUUCCUUCGGGAGAGAUAUAAAGUGGCGCACGGGUGAGUAACACGUAGGUAAUCUACCUUUGAGUGGGGAAUAACGUUCGGAAACGAACGCUAAUACCGCAUAAUGCAGCAGCACCGCAAGGUGACAGUUGUUAAAGGAGCAAUCCGCUUAAAGAGGAGCCUGCGGCAGAUUAGCUAGUUGGUAAGGUAAUGGCUUACCAAGGCGACGAUCUGUAACCGACCUGAGAGGGUGGUCGGUCACACUGACACUGAAUAACGGGUCAGACUCCUACGGGAGGCAGCAGUCGGGAAUUUUGGGCAAUGGGCGAAAGCCUGACCCAGCAACGCCGCGUGAAGGAUGAAGUAUUUCGGUAUGUAAACUUCGAAAGAAUGGGAAGAAUAAAUGACGGUACCAUUUAUAAGGUCCGGCUAACUACGUGCCAGCAGCCGCGGUAAUACGUAGGGACCAAGCGUUGUUCGGAUUUACUGGGCGUAAAGGGCGCGUAGGCGGCGUGUUAAGUCAGCUGUGAAAUCUCCGAGCUUAACUCGGAACGGUCAGCUGAUACUGAUGUGCUAGAGUGCAGAAGGGGCAAUCGGAAUUCUUGGUGUAGCGGUGAAAUGCGUAGAUAUCAAGAGGAACACCUGAGGUGAAGACGGGUUGCUGGGCUGACACUGACGCUGAGGCGCGAAAGCUAGGGUAGCAAACGGGAUUAGAUACCCCGGUAGUCC
Molecule: ribosomal RNA, 776 nt
Filed under: uncultured Acidobacteriota bacterium
Lineage: Bacteria; Pseudomonadati; Acidobacteriota
Description: bacterial SSU rRNA
Rfam family: Bacterial small subunit ribosomal RNA
Source: RNAcentral